GACGAACGCUGGCGGCGUGCUUAACACAUGCAAGUCGAACGGAAAGGCCCUGCUUUUGUGGGGUGCUCGAGUGGCGAACGGGUGAGUAACACGUGAGUAACCUGCCCUUGACUUUGGGAUAACUUCAGGAAACUGGGGCUAAUACCGGAUAGGAGCUCCUGCUGCAUGGUGGGGGUUGGAAAGUUUCGGCGGUUGGGGAUGGACUCGCGGCUUAUCAGCUUGUUGGUGGGGUAGUGGCUUACCAAGGCUUUGACGGGUAGCCGGCCUGGGAGGGUGACCGGCCACAUUGGGACUGAGAUACGGCCCAGACUCCUACGGGAGGCAGCAGUGGGAAAUAUUGCACAAUGGGCGGAAGCCGGAUGCAGCAACGCCGCGUGCGGGAUGACGGCCUUCGGGUUGUAAACCGCUUUCGCCUGUGACGAAGCGUGAGUGACGGUAAUGGGUAAAGAAGCACCGGCUAACUACGUG
This 468-nucleotide ribosomal RNA is filed under the name uncultured bacterium. Its description in RNAcentral is "partial 16S ribosomal RNA". It matches the Rfam family "Bacterial small subunit ribosomal RNA", at positions 28 to 507 of the family's 1533-position model. The record is from RNAcentral.